AGACCCAGAUGAGAUGAUGACCACGCUCGUUAGAGUAGCCUAUUCAUUCGUUUAUUCUGCGCGCUCGAUUGGUCCAGAAUACUCAACUGUGCGGUGAGGGAGUGAAUGCCGACUUGAGAGAUAUUUUUUGAGAAGCUCUUCGGAAACAAUCUUCCUCCAUUUUUUUAAUAAGAACGUCGUAAAUUGUACAAUUCUUGAAAUAGUUAGAUCCUCAGAAUUACGCCCGCGUGAUUGUCUGGUGAGAGACAAGUCACUCCAUCAAGGAGGUGCUGUAAUUUUUUUGGGUGGGGGGGACGAACGAUACCGGAUGUCUCUGGAAGAGAUUCCCUAAAAACGUUUUUUAGCUGUACCAUUCUAACCGAACGAGGUUGGCUCGAGGAGGAGGACACACAAUAGCGCGCCGCGAAAUAAACAGCGUGGCUAACAAAAGAAACCAGCCUUGGUUUUUGACACGUUCGCGGUUUACAGAAAUUCAACUAUUCAGGAAGACCCCUUUGUCAACCCAUGAGAAUAUAAAGUGGAUUCGCAUUUUAGGUGUGUAUGUGAAGCGGGCUGCUGUGGAACUGAGCAAGGACUACUCCACGGAAGAUGAGGAAGAGCAGAAGUGUGGUGACAGUGUCGCCCAAUGAUG
Non-coding RNA from Salvelinus sp. IW2-2015, 631 nucleotides. The record is from RefSeq and is a predicted model, not a curated record. NCBI's taxonomy places the organism in Eukaryota, Metazoa, Chordata, Actinopteri, Salmoniformes, Salmonidae.